This 501-nucleotide unclassified non-coding RNA is filed under the name Hevea brasiliensis (rubber tree). The record is from RNAcentral. Lineage: Eukaryota; Viridiplantae; Streptophyta; Magnoliopsida; Malpighiales; Euphorbiaceae.
GCUGGUUGAUUCGCAAUCGGACUCUGCUUUCUUUCUCCAAAUCUGGCGUUUCCAGGUACUGCCAUUUUUGCUUGUAAGUUUAGGGUCGCACUUUUUGUUUUUUCUUUCUUCUUCUUUUUUUAAUCCCUAACCACCAAAUCACAUAAACCCAUGUCCAGCUCUUCAUUCACUCGAUUUUUCUCGCAAUCUAUAACACCCAAAAUCCCCAAAAUCUCUGCUUCACACUUCGCCACUUCCUUGGCAGAUAAACUUUACACUCUUUUGCAAAAGAAUCCUGAAAAUGCUGAGAGAGCUCUGAAUUCAAUCAAAGCUAAAUUGGACACCGCGUGCGUCAAUGAGGUCUUAAACAAAUGCUCCUUUAACAAUUCUCAAAUUGGUCUUCGCUUUUUUAUCUGGGCUGGUUGCCAUUCAAAUUAUAGGCAUAGUUCUUUUAUGUAUGGUAAAGCUUGUCAAUUGUUUAAGAUUGAGCAAAACCCGCGAGUUAUUCUGGAUUUAUUCGAG